RNAcentral lists this ribosomal RNA (206 nucleotides) under uncultured bacterium. Its description in RNAcentral is "partial 16S ribosomal RNA". It matches the Rfam family "Bacterial small subunit ribosomal RNA", at positions 568 to 774 of the family's 1533-position model. The record is from RNAcentral.
UGCGUAGGUGGCCGGGUAAGUCUGAUGUGAAAUCUCGAAGCUUAACUUCGAAACUGCAUUGGAUACUAUUUGGCUGGAGGGUUGGAGGGGGGACUGGAAUUCUCGGUGUAGCAGUGAAAUGCGUAGAUAUCGAGAGGAACACCAGUGGCGAAGGCGAGUCCCUGGACAACUCCUGACACUGAGGCACGAAAGCUAGGGAGCAAACA